UACGUAGGGUGCAAGCGUUGUCCGGAAUUAUUGGGCGUAAAGAGCUCGUAGGCGGUCUGUCGCGUCGAAUGUGAAAACCCGGGGCUCAACCCCGGGCCUGCAUUCGAUACGGGCAGACUAGAGUUCGGUAGGGGAGUCUGGAAUUCCUGGUGUAGCGGUGAAAUGCGCAGAUAUCAGGAGGAACACCAGUGGCGAAGGCGACUUCCUGGCCUGUUCUUGACGCUGAGGCGCGAAAGCUGGGGGAGCAAACGGG
This 253-nucleotide ribosomal RNA is filed under the name uncultured bacterium. Its description in RNAcentral is "partial 16S ribosomal RNA". It matches the Rfam family "Bacterial small subunit ribosomal RNA", at positions 524 to 776 of the family's 1533-position model. The record is from RNAcentral.